UGAAGUCUAGUCAAAUCAUUUCUGUCCUGCCGUGGCUCGGACUGGCCCAGUGGCUGCCACAGAAAGCCCCAGAGUCCGUGGGCCCUGGCUCCCUGCCCUGGGACCUGAAGAUAAGUGUGGCUGUGGACGCGG
This 132-nucleotide small nucleolar RNA is filed under the name Tupaia belangeri (northern tree shrew). Its description in RNAcentral is "Small nucleolar RNA SNORA5 (ENSTBEG00000019314.1)". It matches the Rfam family "Small nucleolar RNA SNORA5". Rfam says of the family: ACA5 is a member of the H/ACA class of snoRNA that guide the sites of modification of uridines to pseudouridines. Lineage: Eukaryota; Metazoa; Chordata; Mammalia; Scandentia; Tupaiidae. The record is from RNAcentral.